Molecule: ribosomal RNA, 750 nt
Filed under: uncultured archaeon
Lineage: Archaea
Description: bacterial SSU rRNA
Rfam family: Archaeal small subunit ribosomal RNA
Source: RNAcentral
AGGUUACUGCUAUCGAGGUUCGACUAAGCCAUGCGAGUCGAAUGUAGCAAUACAUGGCGUACUGCUCAGUAACACGUGGACAACCUACCCUUAGGACGGGGAUAAACCCGGGAAACUGGGUAUAAUACCCGAUAGUCCUCGAAGGCUGGAAUGCAUCGAGAACCAAAGCUUUUGCACCUAAGGAUGGGUCUGCGGCCUAUCAGGUAGUAGUGGGUGUAGCGUACCUACUAGCCUACGACGGGUACGGGUUGUGAGAGCAAGAGCCCGGAGAUGGAUUCUGAGACACGAAUCCAGGCCCUACGGGGUGCAGCAGGCGCGAAAACUUUACAAUGCCGGCAACGGCGAUAAGGGGACCUCGAGUGCCAGGUUACAAAUCUGGCUGUCGUGAUGCCUAAAAAGCAUUGCAUAGCAAGGGCCGGGCAAGACCGGUGCCAGCCGCCGCGGUAACACCGGCGGCUCGAGUGGUAACCGUUAUUAUUGGGUCUAAAGGGUCUGUAGCCGGCCGGAUAAGUCUCUUGGGAAAUCCAGCAGCUCAACUGUUGGGCUUUCAGGAGAUACUGUCUGGCUCGAGGCCGGGAGAGGUGAGAGGUACUUCAGGGGUAGGGGUGAAAUCUUGUAAUCCUUGAAGGACCACCAGUGGCGAAGGCGUCUCACCAGAACGGACCUGACGGCAAGGGACGAAAGCUAGGGGCACGAACCGGAUUAGAUACCCGGGUAGUCCCAGCCGUAAACGAUGCUCGCUAGGUGUCA